Molecule: transfer RNA, 73 nt
Filed under: Spirochaetae bacterium HGW-Spirochaetae-5
Lineage: Bacteria; Pseudomonadati; Spirochaetota
Description: tRNA-Trp
Rfam family: tRNA
About the family: Transfer RNA (tRNA) molecules are approximately 80 nucleotides in length. Their secondary structure includes four short double-helical elements and three loops (D, anti-codon, and T loops).
Source: RNAcentral
AGGUCAUUAGUUCAAUUGGUAGAGCAUCGGUCUCCAAAACCGAGUGUUGCAGGUUCGAGUCCUGCAUGGCCUG